RNAcentral lists this ribosomal RNA (253 nucleotides) under uncultured bacterium. RNAcentral describes it as "partial 16S ribosomal RNA". It matches the Rfam family "Bacterial small subunit ribosomal RNA", at positions 524 to 776 of the family's 1533-position model. The record is from RNAcentral.
UACGUAGGGUGCGAGCGUUGUCCGGAAUUACUGGGCGUAAAGCGUGCGUAGGCGGUUCGCUGUGUCCGAUGUGAAAGCCCCGGGCUUAACCUGGGAAUGGCAUUGGAAACUGGCGGGCUUGAGUGCGGCAGAGGGGGGUGGAAUUCCGCGUGUAGCAGUGAAAUGCGUAGAGAUGCGGAGGAACACCGAUGGCGAAGGCAGCCCCCUGGGUCGACACUGACGCUCAGGCACGAAAGCGUGGGGAGCAAACAGG